GUUCUUGUAGUUGAAGUACAACGGUGAUUUUUCAUGUCAUUAGUCAUGGUUAGACUCCAUGCGAGAAUA
Molecule: transfer RNA, 69 nt
Filed under: Ursus thibetanus (Asiatic black bear)
Lineage: Eukaryota; Metazoa; Chordata; Mammalia; Carnivora; Ursidae
Description: transfer RNA-Glu
Rfam family: tRNA
About the family: Transfer RNA (tRNA) molecules are approximately 80 nucleotides in length. Their secondary structure includes four short double-helical elements and three loops (D, anti-codon, and T loops).
Source: RNAcentral